UUUCCGCAAUAUGCAUCACAAAUUUCAGAGAAGUGUGAAGUUUGAAGGAUAGCUGUGUUUCAGUUUGUGUACUGGUUUGAGAAGUGUGAAUUAGUCAGUUUAUCAGUGAAUAACAGACACCACUGUUUUCCUCUCAGGUUUCGUAGACCGAGGGCAAGUUAGCGUUGUCCUUUCUCUCUCAUUUGGCUUCAUGACCAUGCUACAUGAUAACAACCCCCUCCAAACAAAAACCAGGAAAAGUUCAAAUAUAACACAUCUUUCUGGAGGUAAAGGAUUGCCAAGCCCAUCCCUAAUGGAGAAUAAUGAGCAGAGCAAUCAAAACCCAAUGAAAUGACAGAUCUGAACACAGCAGAGUGCAAAAGGAAGUCAGGCGGCUUCCUUUGAUAAGUGCGUCACGAGAGACUAUCAAAAGGAAAGCAGCAGCAACGAAAGAAUUGCACCACUUUGCUUGUCUCUGCCUCAAAUGAACAUGAGAGCGGAACAGAGGGAGGUUGACUGACAGCGACAGCAAGAGAGGACUCCAGGGGAUGGAGCCUUUUGGGUGAAGGCUGCAGAAUGCUCUAUCUAGCCUUUGCAUUGUCCUCUGUUGAUGUAGCAUAUGCAACCAAGUGCAGAAUGGAAAGUGAGUAGCAGCCCUCGGCCAU
This is a non-coding RNA of Podarcis muralis (Common wall lizard), 644 nucleotides long. NCBI's taxonomy places the organism in Eukaryota, Metazoa, Chordata, Lepidosauria, Squamata, Lacertidae. The record is from RefSeq and is a predicted model, not a curated record.